UAGGGAAUCUUCCGCAAUGGGCGAAAGCUUGACGGAGCAACGCCACGUGAGUGAUGAAGGUCUUCGGAUCGUAAAACUCUGUUAUUAGGGAAGAACAAAUGUGUAAGUAACUAUGCACGUCUUGACGGUACCUAAUCAGAAAGCCACGGCUAACUACGUGCCAGCAGCCGCGGUAAUACGUAGGUGGCAAGCGUUAUCCGGAAUUAUUGGGCGUAAAGCGCGCGUAGGCGGUUUUUUAAGUCUGAUGUGAAAGCCCACGGCUCAACCGUGGAUGGUCCUUGGCAACUGGAAAACUUGAGUGCAGACGAGGAAAGUGGAAUUCCAUGUGUAGCGGUGAAAUGCGCAUAGCUAUGGAGGAACACCCGUGGCGACGGCCCCUUUCUGGUCUGUAACUGACGCUUAUGUGCGACAGCGUGGGGUUCAAACAGG
This 429-nucleotide ribosomal RNA is filed under the name Actinomycetes bacterium. Its description in RNAcentral is "Actinobacteria bacterium partial 16S ribosomal RNA". It matches the Rfam family "Bacterial small subunit ribosomal RNA", at positions 355 to 776 of the family's 1533-position model. The record is from RNAcentral. Lineage: Bacteria; Bacillati; Actinomycetota; Actinomycetes.